This 93-nucleotide microRNA precursor is filed under the name Branchiostoma floridae (Florida lancelet). RNAcentral describes it as "microRNA bfl-mir-4894 precursor". The record is from miRBase by way of RNAcentral. Lineage: Eukaryota; Metazoa; Chordata; Leptocardii; Amphioxiformes; Branchiostomatidae.
GUAGUUUCUAUGGAAAUCUGGGGCAAUUAAGGUUACGAGUUUCUUUGGGGACUUCUUCAUAGCCUUAUUGUCACAGAUGUCUGUGGGAACCAU